GCCUCGGCGUUUCCACCCAGUGGUUCUGAAGGGGGUUCUUGGGCGUUUCAGCGUCGGCACCGGGGUCCCGGACGGCCGGUUCAGGAUGCUCCUAGUCCUGGGAAGCUUAUCUCAGCUUCAUGUUUCUCCGAUGGGAUGACCUGACGCUCUUUUUCUCCGUCCACAUGGACCUGCAGACCCACCAGAGGGUUCAAUCAAUAUGUAUGUAUGGUCAUACACAGCUGCCUCCUGCCUCCCCUCUCCCUUGGACCCACCCAAGCCUUUCUGGGCCUUCCUUAUGGGGAGUCUCCCACUGGCCUUUUCUCCCUCAUGGUGGAUCUCCCUCCAGCAAAAGGUGCCGACGUCACCUUCUUGAAUGCCCCAAUACCACCUCUCUUAGCACUAGCGGAUUCCUAGUGGCUCUCACUGCCUCCUUUGUAACCUAUCCCCAAUAAAGGGACAGUACAGUA
Long non-coding RNA from Leopardus geoffroyi (Geoffroy's cat), 449 nucleotides. RefSeq lists it as uncharacterized. NCBI's taxonomy places the organism in Eukaryota, Metazoa, Chordata, Mammalia, Carnivora, Felidae. The transcript is spliced from 2 exons. The record is from RefSeq and is a predicted model, not a curated record.